GAGAUCGUAGCAAAGAGGAUAUGCAACGGACUUUUAAUCCGUACCACGUGGGUUCGAAUCCCACCGGUCUCACCA
Molecule: transfer RNA, 75 nt
Filed under: compost metagenome
Description: tRNA-Lys
Rfam family: tRNA
About the family: Transfer RNA (tRNA) molecules are approximately 80 nucleotides in length. Their secondary structure includes four short double-helical elements and three loops (D, anti-codon, and T loops). Further hydrogen bonds mediate the characteristic L-shaped molecular structure. tRNAs have two regions of fundamental functional importance: the anti-codon, which is responsible for specific mRNA codon recognition, and the 3' end, to which the tRNAs corresponding amino acid is attached (by aminoacyl-tRNA synthetases). tRNAs cope with the degeneracy of the genetic code in two manners: having more than one tRNA (with a specific anti-codon) for a particular amino acid; and 'wobble' base-pairing, i.e. permitting non-standard base-pairing at the 3rd anti-codon position.
Source: RNAcentral